UCCUUUAUUCUGGGGAAAAUAAUCUCUCAAGGAUCUAUGAAAUCUCCCAAGAUUUCUUUAGAGCUGACAAAAAGAAUCGGUCUCUUACUCAAUUUUUUGCUGAUUUUAAACAAAUGUAUGAGGAGUUUAAUCAUCUUUUGCCAAUUACCUCUGAUGUUAAGACGAUGCAGGAGCAACGAGAACAAUUGGCUGUUAUGGGAUUUUUGGGAGCACUUGGACCAGAGUUCAAUGUAGUUCGUUCACAAAUUCUUGGGGGAAAUACUGUGCCUUCACUAACGGAGACCUUUUCUCGGGUCUUAAGGGUUUCACGUGAGUCAUCUAAGGAUAUAUCCCCCACAGGUGAUAGUUCUGCCUUGGCAGUCCAAGGAAAUCGAGGUGGUGGUCAAGGUCGUGGUGGUGGUCGUAGUGGCCGUGGCUUUAAUAGUGGUGGUAGUGGCCGUGGGUUCAAUAGAGGCCAAUCACAGUCAUACGGUAGCAUCUCUAGUGACAAAGGGAGUAAUACCGGACUUGCACGAACAUGUCAUUAUUGUGGUAUGCCUGGACAUAUUCAGCGUUUUUGCUAUAAGCUUCAUGGAAAGCCCCCUCAUUCGGCUGUCGCUAAUGUAGCCCAUGCAGUAGAGUUGGGUGUUUCUUCGUAGUCUUCUGAAGGAGGAACACUGAUUAGAAUGUCAGAAGAGGAACUUGCUAGGUACAAUCAGUUCCAGAUUUCUCAGCCAGUUUCCUCUUCCACAGCUACUUUUGCUCAGACAGGUAAUGCAACAGCAUGUCUUUCAUCUACCUCUCGCCCCUGGGUCAUUGAUUCAGGUGCUACCGAUCAUAUGACUGGAUCUUCAGGAUUUGAAGACGAAGAAGACGAUUGGUAAAGGACAUAUGUCAGGGGGACUAUAUGUGUUUGAUAAUGCUACCAGUGUAGCUUGUUCAGCAGUUUCUCCACAUCAAGUUCACUGUCGCUUGGGACAUCCCUCUUUAGCAAGUUUGAAGAAAAUUGAUUCUCAGUUUCAUUCUUUAUCUAGUUUCGAGUGUGAGUCGUGUCAGUUUGGAAAAUUGCAUCGUAUUAGUUAUAGUCCAAGAGUCAAUAAACAGGCUUCUCGGCCGUUUUCUUUAGUUCAUUCUGAUGUUUGGGGUCCAUGUCCUACUGCUUCAAAGUUGGGUUUCAAGUACUUCGUGACUUUUGUAGAUGACUAUUCAAGAGCCACUUGGCUAUAUCUAAUGAAAAGUCGUUCUGAAUUAUU
This is a long non-coding RNA of Syzygium oleosum, 1232 nucleotides long. RefSeq lists it as uncharacterized. The transcript has 2 exons. NCBI's taxonomy places the organism in Eukaryota, Viridiplantae, Streptophyta, Magnoliopsida, Myrtales, Myrtaceae. The record is from RefSeq and is a predicted model, not a curated record.